UCCCUGUGGUCCAGUGGUUAGGACUCAGCACUUCCACUGCUGUGGCCUGGGUUCAUCCCUGGUUUGGGAA
Molecule: transfer RNA, 70 nt
Filed under: Bos taurus (domestic cattle)
Lineage: Eukaryota; Metazoa; Chordata; Mammalia; Artiodactyla; Bovidae
Also listed under: 3 other names
Rfam family: tRNA
About the family: Transfer RNA (tRNA) molecules are approximately 80 nucleotides in length.
Source: Rfam by way of RNAcentral